Molecule: ribosomal RNA, 253 nt
Filed under: uncultured bacterium
Lineage: Bacteria
Description: partial 16S ribosomal RNA
Rfam family: Bacterial small subunit ribosomal RNA
Source: RNAcentral
UACGUAGGGUGCAAGCGUUAAUCGGAAUUACUGGGCGUAAAGCGUGCGCAGGCGGUUAUGUAAGACAGUUGUGAAAUCCCCGGGCUCAACCUGGGAACUGCAUCUGUGACUGCAUAGCUAGAGUACGGUAGAGGGGGAUGGAAUUCCGCGUGUAGCAGUGAAAUGCGUAGAUAUCAGGAGGAACACCGAUGGCGAAGGCAGCUGCCUGGCCUAACACUGACGCUGAGGUGCGAAAGCGUGGGGAGCGAACGGG